GUGUCAGCCGCCGCGGUAAUACGUAGGGUGCAAGCGUUAAUCGGAAUUACUGGGCGUAAAGCGUGCGCAGGCGGUUUUGUAAGUUUGUCGUGAAAGCCCCGGGCUCAACCUGGGAAUUGCGAUGAAGACUGCAAGGCUUGAAUCUGGCAGAGGGGGGUAGAAUUCCACGUGUAGCAGUGAAAUGCGUAGAGAUGUGGAGGAACACCGAUGGCGAAGGCAGCCCCCUGGGUCAAGAUUGACGCUCAUGCACGAAAGCGUGGGGAGCAAACAGGAUUAGAUACCCUGGUAGUCC
Molecule: ribosomal RNA, 292 nt
Filed under: uncultured bacterium
Lineage: Bacteria
Description: partial 16S ribosomal RNA
Rfam family: Bacterial small subunit ribosomal RNA
Source: RNAcentral